RNAcentral lists this ribosomal RNA (428 nucleotides) under uncultured bacterium. Its description in RNAcentral is "bacterial SSU rRNA". It matches the Rfam family "Bacterial small subunit ribosomal RNA", at positions 355 to 775 of the family's 1533-position model. The record is from RNAcentral.
UAGGGAAUCUUCGGCAAUGGCCGAAAGUCUGACCGAGCAACGCCGCGUGAGUGAAGAAGGUUUUCGGAUCGUAAAACUCUGUUGUUAGAGAAGAACGUUGUGUAGAGUGGAAAAUUACACAAGUGACGGUAUCUAACCAGAAAGGGACGGCUAACUACGCGCCAGCAGCCGCGGUAAUACGUAGGUCCCGAGCGUUGUCCGGAUUUAUUGGGCGUAAAGCGAGCGCAGGUGGUUUAAUAAGUCUGAUGUAAAAGGCAGUGGCUCAACCAUUGUGUGCAUUGGAAACUGUUAGACUUGAGUGCAGUAGAGGAGAGUGGAAUUCCAUGUGUAGCGGUGAAAUGCGUAGAUAUAUGGAGGAACACCGGUGGCGAAAGCGGCUCUCUGGACUGUAACUGACACUGAGGCUCGAAAGCGUGGGUAGCAAACAG